CUUCAAUCCUCAUAUUUUUGACAUUGAAGUUUUUCUUCUUCUCCUCUCUCACUAUGCUGCCGUUCCGGGUUUCUUUCCUUCGAUUCGUUUUAUCUACUGCGGAUCCACCAAAUUUAUCGGGGAACUAGCUGCACCGAUGAAGAAGGAGUUGCAGAGCUUUUGGUUGUUUGACAUCGUUUUGAACCUGGAAGGCUCAGAUCUACAAAAGCCCCCAAAUUCCCAGGUUCGAUAUCGCCGGAUACACAACACGCGUCACCGUCCCCUUUACUUUUAAGGCCUUAAGUAGCUCUCAGCCUCUAUUGGUAAUUACUUUCAUGCGCGCGUACUCCUUGCUUAACAUAUCUGAGUCUUCUUCAUCAGAGUUGGUCCACUAUUGAUAUUAACCUUGGGCUGAGGUAUCUCUUUAGUAACAAAGACAUCUUCUUCAUGGAGUUGAGUUCCAAUGCUUCUGAUGUGCUAUACAAGAUUAGAUUCCUUUCCCUCACAUAUAAGGAAAUUCAGAUUAAAUUAGACCAAGAGAGAGAAUCCUCUCCUAUGUGACUAGAUUACAUGUAUGACAAAGGAGGUGGCUUGAUCAAGAACUUGGGAAUUAUAGCAAAAUCUGGAACUUCAUGUCUCUUUUGUUGUUAUAUUGAAGUUUACAUUUGUUAUCUAUUUCGAAUGCAAUUGAUGGAAAGGUAAAAGUUAUUAGAACCUAUUGUUUGUUUAUUUGUCUUUAGUUUGUAUAAUAGUACUACUUUUGUGUGAGGACCUUGUUGAUCUAGUUAAAUUAAUUAAUUAUAGUUUGCAAGGGUUGAUGUUAAAUAUGAAGAGAUAAUUGAAGCAACCUCAACUGGCUCCAGUUCAAUGAUUUCCAAGAUUGUUCAAAUGGUUGAGGAUGCUCAAGGCCAUGAAGCACCAAUAGAAGGGCUUACUGAUUCAAUAGCUGGAUCUUUUGUAUACAGUAUAAUGACUCUCAGCUACAAUAUUUGGUUUUUGAAACAAAGGGAGGUGGAAUCAGAAAGGAUAGAGAAGAUGCCGGAGGAACAUGCAGCUGUGAACCUGCAUUCUAACUGUGCUCGAGGCUCGACAUGAACAUCACUGGCAGAUUCAUUGGCAGAUAUGGUAUGAUUGUAGAAAAGAAUACAUCUACCUUUGUUUUCUUUAAGGUACUAACUUCUACAUAUAAAUGUGUUGGGAUAGUGAUUUAGACUGUUGCUUGAAAGUGGCUAUUAGUUGUCGAUUGUUUGGUUUGGGGCUGGUAUAUUAUUCUGAGUAUCUUGUUUUGCUAUCAAUGUGGAGUUUUAUAAUCCUCGUGUACAAGAACUCAUUAUUUUCCUUCUUGGCAUGGACAAGAACUCAUUAUUUUCCUUCUUGGCAUCUACAAUUUACAGAUAGUGAUCUACAAUGCUUGAAGAUUUACAGAAUUGCUACUUGCUAGAUAAUACUUCACAUUGCAAAAUUUAAUUCUUGUUUUCUAGAACUUCAGGUACUGUGAGCACGUUGCCAUUUUCUUUGAAAGAGUUUGUCCAUAUCAAAGAAGGGUUGCAGUUGUGGAGAAGAAAUUUUGUUGUCUCUGGAUGUAAUGAAUUAUUUUGAGUUCGUGAAUUUGUUGUAUGAUGCAUUUUUUAAUAUAGUAUACAGUACAUGAAAUGUAGAGGUGCCAAAUACUAGUAUUUGGCACCUAUUUUUUUAUUCCAGUUUAAUGAUUUUGCCA
Molecule: long non-coding RNA, 1696 nt
Organism: Rosa rugosa (rugosa rose)
Lineage: Eukaryota; Viridiplantae; Streptophyta; Magnoliopsida; Rosales; Rosaceae
Exons: 8
Source: RefSeq, a predicted model, not a curated record